UGGGGAAUCUUGCGCAAUGGGCGAAAGCCUGACGCAGCAACGCCGCGUGCGGGAAGAAGGCUCUCGGGUUGUAAACCGCUUUCAGCAGGAACGAAAAUGACGGUACUUGCAGAAGAAGGUGCGGCCAACUACGUGUCAGCAGCCGCGGUGACACGUAGGCACCAAGCGUUGUCCGGAUUUAUUGGGCGUAAAGAGCUCGUAGGCGGUUCGGUAAGUCAGGUGUGAAAACUUUGGGCUCAACCCAAAGCCUGCAUCUGAUACUGCUGUGACUAGAGUUCGGUAGGGGAGCGGGGAAUUCCUAGUGUAGCGGUGAAAUGCGCAGAUAUUAGGAGGAACACCGGUGGCGAAGGCGCCGCUCUGGGCCGAAACUGACGCUGAGGAGCGAAAGCGUGGGUAGCAAACA
This 403-nucleotide ribosomal RNA is filed under the name uncultured Ilumatobacter sp. RNAcentral describes it as "partial 16S ribosomal RNA". It matches the Rfam family "Bacterial small subunit ribosomal RNA", at positions 355 to 774 of the family's 1533-position model. Lineage: Bacteria; Bacillati; Actinomycetota; Acidimicrobiia; Acidimicrobiales; Ilumatobacteraceae. The record is from RNAcentral.